Non-coding RNA from Aegilops tauschii subsp. strangulata, 788 nucleotides. NCBI's taxonomy places the organism in Eukaryota, Viridiplantae, Streptophyta, Magnoliopsida, Poales, Poaceae. The record is from RefSeq and is a predicted model, not a curated record.
GGCCGGGGUCGAGGCGGAGGUGGAGCCGGUGGUCGUGCGGAGGGUGCGGCGGAUCCAUGGCGUCUGCUCUGUUUCUCGAGCCUCCUCUCUGUCUGCGACGUCCGCGCUACUGCCGAGUAUAGGACGCGCUGCCGAUGAACCUGUGAUUUACGCUUGUACCUUGUUGGAUGGAGCUCAAGGGGCGCAAUGGAGUUGGAUGGAGCAAGGGGCACAUAAUGCGUGAGAUGUGAUUCUAACUCGUUGAAUUUAGAAGCUGUGGAUUCAACAAACCUAUUGAAAAUCUCUGUUGUAAUAUUUGCAUUUGAAAUAUCUAAAUUAUGCCGUUUUAUAAUAUAUAUUUUUAGUGUCACAGACUUAAAAAUGGACAUUUAAGGGACAAGGUGGGAUGGCCACUCAAAUAUAGAUUCGACGCAUAUAUAGUGAGUCUUCAUUAAUUCUCCACUGGUAGCUUGUAGGCCUAUCUGCUUGUGGUUAUUAUUUGGCAGCAUACAACACAAGAGAAAAUACGCCACUCGUAGUCUGGUACCAUUACCAAAUUUCUAGCUAAGAUCUUAAUAUUUGAAUGUAAUGCUAAGAGAAUUUAUGAUCACACUAACAUACGCAAUCAUUCUCUACAAGUACACAGCGCAACAUACGGCAAAAUGCAUGAAACUUCCUUGAGACUCAUCCAAGCCUCGAAGCAGCAUACACAAAUUAACUCUUGCAUCAUCAAGAAAAAAGCAAAACCAAAAAUAACAUAGAACCACAUCUCUGCCCCUAUUGAGUUCAACUAUCGCAGAUAACAGACA